RNAcentral lists this ribosomal RNA (334 nucleotides) under Shigella flexneri. RNAcentral's name for it is "partial 23S ribosomal RNA". It matches the Rfam family "Bacterial large subunit ribosomal RNA", at positions 679 to 1010 of the family's 2925-position model. Lineage: Bacteria; Pseudomonadati; Pseudomonadota; Gammaproteobacteria; Enterobacterales; Enterobacteriaceae. The record is from RNAcentral.
GAGUCUUAACUGGGCGUUAAGUUGCAGGGUAUAGACCCGAAACCCGGUGAUCUAGCCAUGGGCAGGUUGAAGGUUGGGUAACACUAACUGGAGGACCGAACCGACUAAUGUUGAAAAAUUAGCGGAUGACUUGUGGCUGGGGGUGAAAGGCCAAUCAAACCGGGAGAUAGCUGGUUCUCCCCGAAAGCUAUUUAGGUAGCGCCUCGUGAAUUCAUCUCCGGGGGUAGAGCACUGUUUCGGCAAGGGGGUCAUCCCGACUUACCAACCCGAUGCAAACUGCGAAUACCGGAGAAUGUUAUCACGGGAGACACACGGCGGGUGCUAACGUCCGUCG